AGCAGCCGCGGUAAUUCCAGCUCCAAUAGCGUAUAUUAAAGUUGUUGCAGUUAAAAAGCUCGUAGUUGAAUUUCGGGAUCAAUAUGCCGGUCAUGCCUUGGUAUGCACUGGUAUCUUUGAUUUCUCCCUUCUGACGAACUUUGAUGUCAUUAAUUUGGUGUCAUAGGGAAUCAGGACUGUUACUUUGAAAAAUUAGAGUGUUUAAAGCAGGCUCACGCUUGAAUACAUUAGCAUGGAAUAAUGAAAUAGGACGUUUGAUUCUAUUUUGUUGGUUUCUAGGAUCGACGUAAUGAUUAAUAGGGAUAGUUGGAGGCAUUAGUAUUCAAUUGUCAGAGGUGAAAUUCUUGGAUUUAUUGAAGACUAACUACUGCGAAAGCAUUUGCCAAGGAUGUUUUCAUUAAUCAAGAACGAAAGUUAGGGGAUCGAAGACGAUCAGAUACCGUCGUAGUC
This 450-nucleotide ribosomal RNA is filed under the name uncultured Glomus. RNAcentral describes it as "SSU rRNA". It matches the Rfam family "Eukaryotic small subunit ribosomal RNA", at positions 569 to 1025 of the family's 1831-position model. The record is from RNAcentral. Lineage: Eukaryota; Fungi; Glomeromycota; Glomeromycetes; Glomerales; Glomeraceae.